CUUAGGGUAAGCUAAGACUAAGCUGUUGGGCUCAUAACCCAAAAAUGGUUCAACCCCCUAAAA
RNAcentral lists this transfer RNA (63 nucleotides) under Onchidella celtica (Celtic sea slug). Its description in RNAcentral is "tRNA-Met". The record is from RNAcentral. Lineage: Eukaryota; Metazoa; Mollusca; Gastropoda; Systellommatophora; Onchidiidae.